This 1272-nucleotide ribosomal RNA is filed under the name Triticum aestivum (bread wheat). RNAcentral's name for it is "partial small subunit ribosomal RNA". The record is from RNAcentral. Lineage: Eukaryota; Viridiplantae; Streptophyta; Magnoliopsida; Poales; Poaceae.
AUGAUGGGGGAGGCCAAGGAGAACGACGUGUACGAGGAGGAGCUGCUCGACUACGAGGAGGACGACGACAAGGCCCUCGACGCCUCCUCCACCGCCAACGCCAAGCCCGCCGCCGACGCCGCCCAGGCCAAGAAGGGCUACGUCGGCAUCCACAGCUCCGGAUUCCGCGACUUCCUCCUCAAGCCCGAGCUGCUCCGAUCAGUGCAACAUGAGUGCAUCCCUCAAGCAAUCCUCGGAAUGGAUGUCAUCUGCCAAGCAAAAUCUGGGAUGGGGAAGACUGCUGUCUUUGUCCUGUCGUCUCUCCAGCAGAUCGAUCCUACUGCUGGUCAGGUGGCAGCGCUCGUAUUGUGCCACACCAGAGAGCUGGCUUACCAGAUUUGCAACGAGUUCGAGAGGUUCAGCAAAUUUCUGCCCGAAUUAAAGGUUGCUGUAUUCUAUGGAGGUGUUCACAUCAAGAAACACCAGGAUUUGCUCAAGAACGACUGCCCCCACAUUGUUGUGGGCACACCUGGGAGGAUUCUAGCUCUAGCUAGAGACAAGGACCUUUCUUUGAAGAAUGUGAGGCAUUUCAUUCUUGACGAGUGUGACAAGAUGCUUGAGUCACUGGACAUGCGGAGGGAUGUCCAGGAGAUUUUCAAGAUGACACCUCAUGAUAAGCAGGUCAUGAUGUUUUCGGCAACUCUCAGCAAGGAGAUCCGUCCCAUUUGCAAGAAAUUUAUGCAAGAUCCUAUGGAAAUUUAUGUUGAUGAUGAGGCAAAGUUGACCCUUCAUGGUCUUGUUCAGCACUAUAUAAAAUUGACAGAGUCAGAGAAGAAUCGAAAAUUGAACGAUCUCUUGGAUGCUCUUGAUUUCAACCAAGUUGUGAUAUUUGUGAAGAGCGUUAGCAGGGCUGCAGAGCUGAACAAGUUGCUGUGUGAAUGCAACUUCCCUUCAAUCUGCAUCCAUUCUGGCAUGACCCAGGAAGAGAGGCUGACCCGAUACAAGAACUUCAAGGAAGGGCACAAGAGGAUUCUUGUGGCGACGGAUUUGGUUGGCAGAGGAAUCGACAUUGAGCGUGUCAACAUUGUGAUAAACUAUGACAUGCCUGAUUCAGCUGAUACCUACUUGCACAGGGUUGGAAGGGCUGGGCGUUUUGGCACCAAGGGGCUCGCCAUAACUUUUGUUUCGUCGGCCUCGGACUCGGACGUCCUUAACCAGGUGCAAGAACGGUUUGAGGUGGACAUCAAGGAGCUGCCUGAGCAGAUUGACACUUCAACAUACAUGCCUUCGUAG